This 247-nucleotide ribosomal RNA is filed under the name uncultured bacterium. Its description in RNAcentral is "partial 16S ribosomal RNA". It matches the Rfam family "Bacterial small subunit ribosomal RNA", at positions 523 to 769 of the family's 1533-position model. The record is from RNAcentral.
AUACGGGGGGUGCUAGCGUUAUUCGGAAUCAUUGGGCGUAAAGGGCGCGUAGGCGGUCUUUUAAGUCAGAUGUGAAAGCCCUCGGCUUAACCGAGGAAGUGCAUUUGAUACUAAGAGACUUGAGUAUGGGAGAGGGAAGCGGAAUUCCUGGUGUAGCGGUGAAAUGCGUAGAUAUCAGGAGGAACACCGGUGGCGAAGGCGGCUUCCUGGACCAAUACUGACGCUGAGGCGCGAAGGCGUGGGGAGC